GAGUCAGAAUGUCAACACUGAUAACGCUGCUCCUGAGGAGGAGUGAGUGGAGGGGUGGGGAGAAAUCACAGCCUUGAGCAAAUCCCAUGGGAGCAACUAGGGCCAGGGGCUGUGAGCCAGAGGGCUGCCUUUCCCCGUCUCUGAAAAGCGGCCAACUUCUCCGACAUCAGCCACCAGACAGAGAGCUACAGAGACAGGGAGCCUGGAGAAAUUGCUGAGUGCCAGUGAGCCCCAGGGAGAAGAGGAACCUAGAGAUCCCUAUUCUCUCAAGAUUCAAGGCCCAAAUCAAAGAUAUCUCCUAGAAGAAAAUGUCCUGCGAGUGGUACCUCUUGAUUGGCAGCCCACUGAUCUCUUUAUUUUUUUUUCUCUUAUGGAUGACAGAUUGAACCCAGAACCUCGCAAUCACUCUACCACUAAGCCCGAUCUCCUAUUAGAAGAUCUCCUAUUAGACACCUCCUCGACUGGACAUCCAUUGCUCCAUUAGACUCCAAUCUCCAUGAAGGCUGAGGAUGGGAAUUGCUACCUCUUCCUGCCCCCAGAAGAAGACAGUAACCAUAUCACAAAGAUACUCAAGCUGUCCAUAAAUUGGCUGGAAUGGGGAGAAGCUGAAGCCUCCAGGCAACAGCUAGAAUCAAUUUGUGGGUAUUUGAGGAGCACCUUGGAUGUGGAUUCUCCAGCCUUAUUCAGGGUUCAAAUGACCACCCCAGAUGACGUCUUAACUCCAGUUGCACAGAAGAUUUGGAAUUACCAUCAUUCAUCUCACUUGCUACCAAAUUCCUAAUUCCUAA
Long non-coding RNA from Heterocephalus glaber (naked mole-rat), 788 nucleotides. RefSeq lists it as uncharacterized. Lineage: Eukaryota; Metazoa; Chordata; Mammalia; Rodentia; Bathyergidae. The record is from RefSeq and is a predicted model, not a curated record.